This 208-nucleotide non-coding RNA is filed under the name Clostridium sp. RNAcentral's name for it is "T-box sequence". It matches the Rfam family "T-box leader". From Rfam's summary of the family: Uncharged tRNA acts as the effector for transcription antitermination of genes in the T-box leader family. T-boxes are found upstream of many aminoacyl-tRNA synthetase genes and some amino acid biosynthetic genes usually in Gram-positive bacteria. Lineage: Bacteria; Bacillati; Bacillota; Clostridia; Eubacteriales; Clostridiaceae. The record is from RNAcentral.
AUAGAAUAGAUGAUAGAGACGGAUAUUUAAAAGUUUAUUUAAAGAGAAAAUGUUAAUUGGUGAGAGACAUUAAUAAAUUUAAAUAUUAGAUCACUCUUGAUAUUUUUAUCUGAUAUUUAGGGUAAAACGUAAAACUCAUGCGUUAAAUGAAGAAAGAGCAUAGAAAAGUCUAUGAAGUAAGGUGGUACCGCGAAAAAUCGUCCUUACA